CAGUCUAUAAAACAUGGGGCCUGAUGACUUUGAAGAAAGUUCAUGUUCCCUAGGAACCAAAUAACAUAAAAGCAAAACUCGAAAACAAAUGAGUCCCCUGCAGUGUACAUUCUGUCUUUCUUGGACUCUUCGGGGAUUGAUUUGGAGACAUGCUUAUCUGAUGAAACAAAAUUCUGUAAACGGACAUAUACAGGAAACCAGCUGAGACAACCAGCCUUGUGGGACUGAGAAACUGCUGGAUUCUUGGACUUUGUGUUCACAGCUAGCCAUUGAUGAAUUAGCUGGACUGCAUGCAGUCUGUUUGGAAGAAAGCCUGGCAUUGCUCAGAAAACUUAUUUUCAGAGUGAGGCUUUGAAGCAUGUGACAAUGGACUGUUAAGAUGGCUCCGUGAGGAAAGCUGUUUGCUGCCAAGCCUGGUGAGCUGAGUUCCAACCUGGAACCUGGAGGAGGAAACUGAUGCCCAAAACCUGUCCUCUGACCGUCACAUGUGUGCAUACCCUCACUCCACCCCCAAAUAAAUAGAGA
Molecule: long non-coding RNA, 525 nt
Filed under: Cricetulus griseus (Chinese hamster)
Lineage: Eukaryota; Metazoa; Chordata; Mammalia; Rodentia; Cricetidae
Description: lncRNA (ENSCGRG00015041151.1)
Source: RNAcentral